GGCGAGUGGCGAACGGGUGAGUAAUACAUCGGAACGUGUCCUGGAGUGGGGGAUAGCCCGGCGAAAGCCGGAUUAAUACCGCAUACGCUCUGUGGAGGAAAGCGGGGGAUCUUUCGGGACCUCGCGCUCAAGGGGCGGCCGAUGGCAGAUUAGGUAGUUGGUGGGGUAAAGGCCUACCAAGCCGACGAUCUGUAGCUGGUCUGAGAGGACGACCAGCCACACUGGGACUGAGACACGGCCCAGACUCCUACGGGAGGCAGCAGUGGGGAAUUUUGGACAAUGGGCGCAAGCCUGAUCCAGCAAUGCCGCGUGUGUGAAGAAGGCCUUCGGGUUGUAAAGCACUUUUGUCCGGAAAGAAAACCUCUGGGUUAAUACCCUGGGGGGAUGACGGUACCGGAAGAAUAAGCACCGGCUAACUACGUGCCAGCAGCCGCGGUAAUACGUAGGGUGCGAGCGUUAAUCGGAAUUACUGGGCGUAAAGCGUGCGCAGGCGGUGAUGUAAGACCGAUGUGAAAUCCCCGGGCUUAACCUGGGAACUGCAUUGGUGACUGCAUCGCUCGAGUAUGGCAGAGGGGGGUAGAAUCCACGUGUAGCAGUGAAAUGCGUAGAGAUGUGGAGGAAUACCGAUGGCGAAGGCAGCCCCCUGGGUCAAUACUGACGCUCAUGCACGAAAGCGUGGGGAGCAAACAGGA
RNAcentral lists this ribosomal RNA (692 nucleotides) under Burkholderia sp. Mi92. RNAcentral's name for it is "bacterial SSU rRNA". It matches the Rfam family "Bacterial small subunit ribosomal RNA", at positions 90 to 777 of the family's 1533-position model. Lineage: Bacteria; Pseudomonadati; Pseudomonadota; Betaproteobacteria; Burkholderiales; Burkholderiaceae. The record is from RNAcentral.